RNAcentral lists this ribosomal RNA (497 nucleotides) under uncultured bacterium. RNAcentral's name for it is "partial 16S ribosomal RNA". It matches the Rfam family "Bacterial small subunit ribosomal RNA", at positions 28 to 507 of the family's 1533-position model. The record is from RNAcentral.
GACGAACGCUGGCGGCGUGCCUAAUACAUGCAAGUUGAGCGAUGAAGAUUGGUGCUUGCACCAAUUUGAAGAGCAGCGAACGGGUGAGUAACGCGUGGGGAAUCUGCCUUUGAGCGGGGGACAACAUUUGGAAACGAAUGCUAAUACCGCAUAACAACUUUAAACAUAAGUUUUAAGUGUGAAAGAUGCAAUUGCAUCACUCAAAGAUGAUCCCGCGUUGUAUUAGCUAGUUGGUGAGGUAAAGGCUCACCAAGGCGAUGAUACAUAGCCGACCUGAGAGGGUGGUCGGCCACAUUGGGACUGAGACACGGCCCCAACUCCUACGGGAGGCAGCCGUAGGGAAUCUUCGGCAAUGGACGGAAGUCUGACCGCGCACCGCCGCGUGAGUGAAGAAGGUUUUCGGAUCGUAAAACUCUGUUGGUAGAGAAGAACGUUGGUGAGAGUGGAAAGCUCAUCAAGUGACGGUAACUACCCAGAAAGCGACGGCUAACUACGUG